GCUCCUUUGGCUCAGUUGGUAGAGCGGUCAGUCUCAUAAUCUGAAGGUCGCCAGUUCGAUCCUGGCAGGGGAGCA
RNAcentral lists this transfer RNA (75 nucleotides) under Pythium insidiosum. RNAcentral's name for it is "tRNA-Met". It matches the Rfam family "tRNA". From Rfam's summary of the family: Transfer RNA (tRNA) molecules are approximately 80 nucleotides in length. Their secondary structure includes four short double-helical elements and three loops (D, anti-codon, and T loops). The record is from RNAcentral. Lineage: Eukaryota; Oomycota; Peronosporomycetes; Pythiales; Pythiaceae.